Molecule: long non-coding RNA, 1298 nt
Organism: Oncorhynchus keta (chum salmon)
Lineage: Eukaryota; Metazoa; Chordata; Actinopteri; Salmoniformes; Salmonidae
Exons: 6
Source: RefSeq, a predicted model, not a curated record
GCACUGCCUUUGACCAGGGUCCAUAUGGGGGAUAGAUAAUAGGGUGUCAUUUGGGACACAUUCCUUGUAUAUAUUCUAUAGUACUACAUUAUUGUGGGUAGCUGAGCUGUAGAGUAGAGGGCAUCUUCUGGAGUGUCUUUAGAGAGGUGCACAGCAGGGUAUCUAGUAGAUUCUACAGUAUCUUUGGGUAGCUGGGCUGCAGAGUAGAUGGCAUCUUCUGGAGUGUCUUUAGAGAGGUGCACAGCAGGGUAUCUUGUAGAUUCUACAGUAUCUUUGGGUAGCUGGGCUGUAGAAUAGAUGGAAUCAUCCUGGUUUCCACUGGCUGUUGGAGGACAUGAAGAGACUCUAGAAUCUGUAGGUAGAUCCACACUGGAGUAGAUGAGAGAAGCUGGUUGAUCUGCAGUAGAAUAUGGAUUUAUAUCAUCUUUGGGAAGUCAACAGUAGAAUAACAUGGCAGGUUAGGAUAAUUAACGUGGGAGGUUAGUAGAAAUAAAAUAGCAGGUUAGGAAAAUGUACAUUGCCAUUCAGGAUAACGUGACAGGUUAGGAAAAUCAGGUUAAGGUUAGGAAAAGAGUUAGGGUUAGCUAAAAUACUACAAGGAAGCAGCAAGCAGCCACUCAAAUAGACAUUAAGUGGCCAACAAACUGCCCAAUUAGCUGGGCAGUUUGUUGUUUAGCUGUUUUCCAUAGACCCAUUGAUGUUGCUCUUCCCACUUAUGUGUCAACGCCCACUUUCAAACACACUCCACCUAUGCAGUUACACAUGAAUCUGUGGAAGACCUGUGGCAGAGCUAGCAGGGUAGGUUGUAGAGGCUCGGCCAGCAGGGUAGGUUGUAGAGGCUUGGCCAGCAGGGUAGGUUGUAGAGGCUUGGCCAGCAGGGUAGGUUGUAGAGGCUUGGCCAGCAGGGUAGGUUGUAGAGGCUUGGCCAGCAGGGUAGGUUGUAGAGGCUUGGCCAGCAGGGUAGGUUGUAGAGGCUUGGCCAGCAGGGUAGGUUGUAGAGGCUUGGUCAGCAGGGUAGGUUGUAGAGGCUUGGCCAGCAGGGUAGGUUGUAGAGGCUUGGCCAGCAGGGUAGGUUGUAGAGGCUUGGCCAGCAGGGUAGGUUGUAGAGGCUUGGCCAGCAGGGUAGGUUGUAGAGGCUUGGCCAGCAGGGUAGGUUGUAGAGGCUUGGCCAGCAGGGUAGGUUGUAGAGGCUUGGCCAGCAGGGUAGGUUGUAGAGGCUUGGCCAGCAGGGUAGGUUGUAGAGGCUUGGCCAGCAGGGUAGGUUAGAGAGGCUUGGCCAGCAGGGUAGAUUGUAGAGG